This 521-nucleotide ribosomal RNA is filed under the name uncultured bacterium. RNAcentral's name for it is "bacterial SSU rRNA". It matches the Rfam family "Archaeal small subunit ribosomal RNA", at positions 345 to 866 of the family's 1478-position model. The record is from RNAcentral.
AACCUCCGCAAUGUGAGAAAUCGCGACGGGGGGAUCCCGAGUGCCAUUCUUAACGGGAUGGCUUUUCAUUAGUGUAAAGAGCUUUUGGAAUAAGGGCUGGGCAAGACCGGUGCCAGCCGCCGCGGUAACACCGGCAGCUCUAGUGGUAGCAGUUUUUAUUGGGCCUAAAGCGUCCGUAGCCGGUUUAAUAAGUCUCUGGUGAAAUCCUGUAGCUUAACUGUGGGAAUUGCUGGAGAUACUAUUAGACUUGAGACCGGGAGAGGUUAGAGGUACUCCCAGGGUAGAGGUGAAAUUCUGUAAUCCUGGGAGGACCGCCUGUUGCGAAGGCGUCUAACUGGAACGGUUCUGACGGUGAGGGACGAAAGUUAGGGGCGCGAACCGGAUUAGAUACCCGGGUAGUCCUAACCGUAAACGAUGCGGACUUGGUGUUGGGGUGGCUUUGAGCUGCUCCAGUGCCGAAGGGAAGCUGUUAAGUCCGCCGCCUGGGAAGUACGGUCGCAAGACUGAAACUUAAAGGAAUU